RNAcentral lists this ribosomal RNA (589 nucleotides) under uncultured bacterium. Its description in RNAcentral is "partial 16S ribosomal RNA". It matches the Rfam family "Bacterial small subunit ribosomal RNA", at positions 355 to 1375 of the family's 1533-position model. The record is from RNAcentral.
UGGGGAAUUUUGGACAAUGGGCGAAAGCCUGAUCCAGCAAUGCCGCGUGUGUGAAGAAGGCCUUCGGGUUGUAAAGCACUUUUGUCCGGAAAGAAAUCCUUGGCUCUAAUACAGUCGGGGGAUGACGGUACCGGAAGAAUAAGCACCGGCUAACUACGUGCCAGCAGCCGCGGUAAUACGUAGGGUGCAAGCGUUAAUCGGAAUUACUGGGCGUAAAGCGUGCGCAGGCGGUUUGCUAAGACCGAUGUGAAAUCCCCGGGCUCAACCUGGGAACUGCAUUGGUGACUGGCAGGCUAGAGUAUGGCAGAGGGGGGUAGAAUUCCACGUGUAGCAGUGAAAUGCGUAGAGAUGUGGAGGAAUACCGAUGGCGAAGGCAGCCCCCUGGGCCAAAUACUGACGCUCAUGCACGAAAGCGUGGGGAGCAAAACAGGAUUAGAUACCCUGGUAGUCCACGCCCUAAAACGAUGUCAACUAGUUGUUGGGGAUUCAUUUCCUUAGUAACGUAGCUAACGCGUGAAGUUGACCGCCUGGGGGAGUACGGUCGCAAGAUUAAAACUCAAAUGAAUUGACGGGGUCAUAGCUGUUUCCU